Molecule: ribosomal RNA, 395 nt
Filed under: Wickerhamiella domercqiae
Lineage: Eukaryota; Fungi; Ascomycota; Dipodascomycetes; Dipodascales; Trichomonascaceae
Description: partial small subunit ribosomal RNA
Rfam family: Bacterial small subunit ribosomal RNA
Source: RNAcentral
GUGCCAGAAGUUUCGGUUAAGCAGCUAGAGCAAGUAGUUUACGUUAAAGGUUUAAAGGAUUAGUAGACGGAUUUUAAAUAAAAAAAUCUAGAAUAAAAUAAUAUAUUUAAUGAAAAAUAGAAGUAAAAGUUAAAUUUUAUAAUAUCUAUUAGACAACUAAUAAAUGAAAAUAUUAAAUAAGAAUUUUAUUGACGUUGAGAUAAUGAAACCUAAAUUAUCAAGUUGGACUUGUUAACCAAUUAGUUUUAGGUGUAAACGAUGUAUAUUAAAUAUUAAUUUUAAUCAAAAUUAAAUUGACAAUAAUUUAAAAUAUACCACCUGAAAAGUAUAAUACAGAAUUGAAAUUUAAAACAAUAGGCCGUUUAGUUUAUUAACAGUGGAUCAUGUUAUUUAAU